This 274-nucleotide long non-coding RNA is filed under the name Carica papaya (papaya). Its description in RNAcentral is "long non-coding RNA (CPAP_LNC015883)". Lineage: Eukaryota; Viridiplantae; Streptophyta; Magnoliopsida; Brassicales; Caricaceae. The record is from RNAcentral.
ACGAGUCGUCCCUAUACCCCGUCCGGUAUGAGUGCCAAAAGAUAUCUUCCCUCAAUAUCUCGUCCAGUAUGAGGGUGAAACAGGUUGUUCCCAUACCCCGUCCGGUAUGAACGCUAAAUUACCAAACCUCGAUAUCUCAUUCGGUAUGAGGUAACAUUCACGGUAGGGUUCCCUAUGUACCAAGUCCGUCCACCAUCUUCCAAAAUAUCCAGUAAGGCUGUCGUUUCAUUCAUUUACUUAAUCAAAUAAUUUUUCAUUCACCUUUAAUUUUUAG